Long non-coding RNA from Lolium perenne, 1190 nucleotides. RefSeq lists it as uncharacterized. NCBI's taxonomy places the organism in Eukaryota, Viridiplantae, Streptophyta, Magnoliopsida, Poales, Poaceae. The record is from RefSeq and is a predicted model, not a curated record.
CUUCUCUCCCCAUUGCCGCCGCACGCCCCCGCGCAGGCUGACACCCCGUUCCCCCCGCGCCGACACCCAUUGCCGCCGCACGCCCCGCGCACGCCGACACCCCGCGCUGACCUGCAUGUCGCCGCGCUUCCAUCGCCCUGGCCUGCCCGACGCGAUUUGGGCCGCCCCAAUGGCUUAGGACGGUACGCCUGGACUCUGCCCAAGCGACCGCGCCGCCGCACUGCCCGACAUGAUUUGGGCAGCCCCACGCCGCCGCAUUACACAGCGCUGACGCCGCAGCGCUGCACUAGCCGCCGAGUGCGCCGCGAGCGAUACACUGUCGACGCUGCACUUGUUGUCCGUCUGCACCCAGCCCGACCGCGUCCUGAUCACCCAAGACCAAAUAUGUAGGUCUGGCAAAGGAUUUUGGCGGAGGCAUUUUAGAGUUAGCCUCAAAUCUUUGAGGAAGCCGAUGCAAGAUGAAAUGGAGCAUGAUGGUGCUUUUUCUUAUCAGAAUAUGUUCGUCCUUUCGAUGCUAUGUAUAUGCUUUUAUCUAAUCAAUUGCUCCUGCAGCUCUGUAGGCUAUGUAAACUGCUCUUUCUUAGUAGGAUGUCAGAUAGGUACACUUCCAGGCGCUUAAGCUGGAACACGUAUGUAGUUUAUGCACAAUGAGUGUACAUAAUAUCUCUAUAUGUAUUUCCAUAACAAUAAAGCAUAUUGAUUAAUCUGAACCCUGCACUUUUUUGUUAUCACCAUUCUGGCUAUUCUUGCUUGGUCUAAACAUUGCUGCAUAGAAUCUGUUUACAUUCUCAGUUAUGACAAAAUGGUUCGUUGUCUACCUGAGCAACAGGUUUGAUGACACAAAUGCAGAUGCUGAAAAGAACUAAUUAUGUACAUAGAUCACAUUUAGGACAUAGUACAGCGCAUGGGGUGGUAGCUCUUCAAAGAUACAUAUACAGGCAUUGAGGCAACUAUAGCAGAUGUGGAGUUCUAGGUUCGUUCUAUAUUUUUGGAGCACACAUGUCCAUGGAAGACCUAUGAUUAUCUGAUGUGAGCACAUCUCUGAAGGUAAUCUUCAACAUGAAUCGCAUAGCCUCAUUGGCUGUGAUGUUUUGAUAUUCACAUCCUGUGCUGAAUCUGCAAUAACAGUAGCGCUAGAUUCUCUUUUCUGAAGACGCUACAACUUUGCUUAGACUCUUUAUUUAAUGAUA